GCGCCCUUAGCUCAGUUGGAUAGAGCAACGGCCUUCUAAGCCGUGGGUCGCAGGUUCGAAGUCCUCGCAGGGCGCGCCA
This 79-nucleotide transfer RNA is filed under the name Salmonella enterica. RNAcentral's name for it is "tRNA-Arg". It matches the Rfam family "tRNA". From Rfam's summary of the family: Transfer RNA (tRNA) molecules are approximately 80 nucleotides in length. Their secondary structure includes four short double-helical elements and three loops (D, anti-codon, and T loops). The record is from RNAcentral. Lineage: Bacteria; Pseudomonadati; Pseudomonadota; Gammaproteobacteria; Enterobacterales; Enterobacteriaceae.